AAACUCAAAUGGAAUUGACGGGGACCCGCACAAGCGGUGGAUGAUGUGGAUUAAUUCGAUGCAACGCGAAAAACCUUACCUACCCUUGACAUGCCUGGAACCCUGGAGAGAUCUAGGGGUGCCCGAAAGGGAGCCGGGACACAGGUGCUGCAUGGCUGUCGUCAGCUCGUGUCGUGAGAUGUUGGGUUAAGUCCCGCAACGAGCGCAACCCUUGUCACUAGUUGCUACGCGAGGGCACUCUAGUGAGACUGCCGGUGACAAACCGGAGGAAGGUGGGGAUGACGUCAAGUCCUCAUGGCCCUUAUGGGUAGGGCUUCACACGUCAUACAAUGGUCGGUACAGAGGGUUGCCAAGCCGCGAGGUGGAGCCAAUCCCAGAAAGCCGAUCGUAGUCCGGAUUGCAGUCUGCAACUCGACUGCAUGAAGUCGGAAUCGCUAGUAAUCGCGGAUCAGCAUGUCGCGGUGAAUACGUUCCCGGGUCUUGUACACACCGCCCGUCACACCAUGGGAGUGGGGUUCACCAGAAGUAGGUAGCCUAACCGCGAGGGGGGCGCUUACCACGGUGAGCUUCAUGACU
RNAcentral lists this ribosomal RNA (576 nucleotides) under uncultured Azospira sp. RNAcentral's name for it is "bacterial SSU rRNA". It matches the Rfam family "Bacterial small subunit ribosomal RNA", at positions 897 to 1476 of the family's 1533-position model. The record is from RNAcentral. Lineage: Bacteria; Pseudomonadati; Pseudomonadota; Betaproteobacteria; Rhodocyclales; Rhodocyclaceae.